AUUGAACGCUGGCGGCAGGCUUAACACAUGCAAGUCGAACGAGUGGCGGACGGGUGAGUAAUGCUUGGGAACCCAGCUUAUGGAGGGGGAUAACUACGGGAAACUGUAGCUAAUACCGCGUACAAUAGGAUGAGCCCAGGUGGGAGUGGGUAGUUGGUGAGGUAACGGCUCACCAAGCCGACGAUCCCUAGCUGGUCUGAGAGGAUGACCAGCCACACUGGGACUGAGACACGGCCCAGACUCCUACGGGAGGCAGCAGUGGGUAAUAUUUCACAAUGGGCGCAAGCUGAUGCAGCCAUGCCGCGUGUAUGAAGAAGGCCUUCGGGUUGUAAAGUUCUUUCGGUAGCGAGGCGUUAACUACAGAAGAAGCACCGGCUAACUCCGUGCCAGCAGCCGCGGUAAUUC
This 405-nucleotide ribosomal RNA is filed under the name uncultured bacterium. RNAcentral describes it as "partial 16S ribosomal RNA". It matches the Rfam family "Bacterial small subunit ribosomal RNA", at positions 30 to 526 of the family's 1533-position model. The record is from RNAcentral.